Oryctolagus cuniculus (rabbit) is the source of this 536-nucleotide non-coding RNA. Lineage: Eukaryota; Metazoa; Chordata; Mammalia; Lagomorpha; Leporidae. The record is from RefSeq and is a predicted model, not a curated record.
AUGUAGCCAGAGUUCUGAAUAGGUGUGAUGAUAAUCAAUGACCAACCUGAGAUCACAAUGUGCAUUCUUAGGAUCCUCAUUUGCAUAAAAGUAGCAGAAACUCAAAGAAGGUUUCUUUCUGAAGAUGAGAAAUGGGAUAUGUUAUCCUAAUUCACAAACCCCGCAGAAUUUAAUUAGUGUUGAGUUUAAGAGACUCUCACAUGAAAUUUAAUAUUACAUGAAAAUCCAAGUGCCACUGGAUCAUUUGCUAUUGAAGUAACCAUGUCCCUUUAGUCCUUACAAACUGAACAAACCAGCUUGCCUUCAUCCUCACUGAGUCAAUGAGUUUGCCACCCGUUGCUAUGAGGACCUGCUAUCUCUUCUUCAUGUUGGCUUUCUUGUUUUUGUUGCCUGCCCCAGGUUUCUCCACAAAAGUACAAUUUCCUUUAUCUUGUCUUGGGAACAGAGGCUUUUGUUUUCCAUUCAGAUGCCUCCCUAGCUGGGAGGAGAUUGGCCUAUGUUUCUUGUCCACACAGAAAUGUUGCAGAAGAUGGAAG